CAGCAGUCAAGAAUAUUAGUCAAUGCUCGCUAGAGUGARCUAGCUAACUGAAAUCUGUGAUGUGUCAUCAAAGAUAACGUAAAGAAAAAUAAUGAUAUUACUUUACUACUAGUGUCGUCCAAAUACUCGUGCCAGAAGACUCGGUAAGGCGAGAGACGCAAACGUUAUUCGUCUUGAUCAGGCGUAAAGGGUGUGUAGGCUGCUUUAAGUAUUUAUAUUAAAUUUACUAUUAUAAACUCAAUAAUUUAAGUCAUAUUUUUACUUUUUAAAAUUUAAAAUUUAAAGACAAUUCUAAAUUAUCUUGUUUUAUAUUAUUAGUAUAGAUCAAUUAAGGCUAGAAUCUAAUGGAGGUUAAAACAAUACUUAAGGUAGGAGUACUAACCGUAAAUAUUAAGUAGAGUGUUAAUGGCGAAGGCUUUUAGCCACUAAAGAUUGACGCUGAGAAACGAAAGUGAGGGCAGAAAAAAGGAUUAGAGACCCUUGUAUUCCUCACUGUCAACGAUGAAUGGUAGUUACUAGUUAGGAAUUAACUAGAGGCGAUGUUAACACGAAAACCAUUCCGCCUUGUAAGUACAACUGCAAAGUUGAAAACAAAAAAAUUAGUCGGUUUCGGAGCAAACGAAGUGAAGCAUGUUAUUUAAUUCGAUAAUCCGC
RNAcentral lists this ribosomal RNA (654 nucleotides) under Hymenochaete rubiginosa. RNAcentral's name for it is "SSU rRNA". It matches the Rfam family "Bacterial small subunit ribosomal RNA", at positions 349 to 962 of the family's 1533-position model. The record is from RNAcentral. Lineage: Eukaryota; Fungi; Basidiomycota; Agaricomycetes; Hymenochaetales; Hymenochaetaceae.